RNAcentral lists this transfer RNA (58 nucleotides) under Cricetulus griseus (Chinese hamster). It matches the Rfam family "tRNA", at positions 8 to 63 of the family's 71-position model. Rfam says of the family: Transfer RNA (tRNA) molecules are approximately 80 nucleotides in length. Lineage: Eukaryota; Metazoa; Chordata; Mammalia; Rodentia; Cricetidae. The record is from Rfam by way of RNAcentral.
UGGCUCAGUGGUUAAGAGCACUGACUCUUCUUCCAGAGGACCUGGGUUCAAUUCCCAG